UCAGGUAAGAAAGUAGUUGCUGUAUUUCAUAAUGCAGAGGAAAGUCCGGACUCCAAGGGAAAAUGGUGACAGGUAACUCCUGUCGGAGGUAACUCUAGGUAUAGGACUACAGAAAAUAACCGCCUUACUAAUAAGGUAAGGGUGAAAAGGUGUGGUAAGAGCACACCGUACUUAUGGCAACAUAUAGUAGCUAAGCAACCACCACCAGGAGCAAGACUAAAAGAGAUAUAUGUGUUUUCCCUCACAAUUAUCUAGGUAAGUCGCGUGAGGUAGAUAGCAAUAUUUAUCCCAGAUGAAUAACUACACAAACAGAAUCCGGCUUACUCUUACCUGACCAU
Molecule: non-coding RNA, 338 nt
Organism: Ehrlichia ruminantium str. Gardel
Lineage: Bacteria; Pseudomonadati; Pseudomonadota; Alphaproteobacteria; Rickettsiales; Anaplasmataceae
Source: Rfam